RNAcentral lists this long non-coding RNA (344 nucleotides) under Brassica napus (rape). RNAcentral's name for it is "long non-coding RNA (BNAP_LNC006899)". Lineage: Eukaryota; Viridiplantae; Streptophyta; Magnoliopsida; Brassicales; Brassicaceae. The record is from RNAcentral.
UCAGCUUCACCUCUUCAUGGAACCGGUUUGAAGUCUCCCCCUCUCAACUGACUUCACAGCCAUCUUAGAGUAGCUAGGACACGGCCAGAUCAUCUUCAAAACACCAGUGAGGCUGAUCAACACUUCACACACGGCUUGCCCUCUUCAUAGAACUGGUUUGGAUCUCCCCCUCUCAACAGACUUCUCAGCCAUCUUAGAGAAGCUAGGAACUGACCAGGAACAUCUUUAGUGAGGCUCAAGCAAUGGUACCUGAUACAUUAUCCCAAAGGUGCAUCAGUACCUAUCAAAACCAAGAAAAUGAAUAUCCUGCAUCACACUUGAUGCACACAAUCUCACAAUUCAAU